GACGAAGGGGGCUAGCGUUGUUCGGAAUUACUGGGCGUAAAGCGCGUGUAGGCGGUUGUCCAAGUUGGAUGUGAAAGCCUUGAGCUUAACUCAAGAAAUGCAUUCAGGACUGGGCGACUAGAGGACCGGAGAGGAUAGUGGAAUUCCCAGUGUAGUGGUGAAAUACGUAGAGAUUGGGAAGAACACCAGUGGCGAAGGCGGCUAUCUGGACGGUUUCUGACGCUAAGACGCGAAAGCGUGGGGAGCAAACAGG
RNAcentral lists this ribosomal RNA (253 nucleotides) under uncultured bacterium. Its description in RNAcentral is "partial 16S ribosomal RNA". It matches the Rfam family "Bacterial small subunit ribosomal RNA", at positions 524 to 776 of the family's 1533-position model. The record is from RNAcentral.